This 107-nucleotide small nuclear RNA is filed under the name Myotis davidii. Lineage: Eukaryota; Metazoa; Chordata; Mammalia; Chiroptera; Vespertilionidae. The record is from RNAcentral.
GUGCUGGCUUCAGCAGCACAUAGACUAAAAUUGGAAUGAUAUGGAGAAGAUUAGCAUGGCCCCUGCACAAGGAUGCCACGCAAAUUCGUGAAGUGUUCCACAUUUAA